CAGGGAAUAUUGCACAAUGGACGGAAGUCUGAUGCAGCGACGCCGCGUGGACGAAGAAGGCCUUCGGGUUGUAAAGUCCUUUUCAGGGGGAAGAGACAGGACGGUACCCCUGGAAUAAGCGUCGGCUAACUACGUGCCAGCAGCCGCGGUAAGACGUAGGACGCGAGCGUUAUCCGGAUUUACUGGGCGUAAAGCGUCUGUAGGCGGGGGGGUAAGUUGGGCGUGAAAGCUCCGGGCUCAACUCGGAGAGGACGCACAAGACUGCCAAUCUAGAGGCCACCAGAGGGGCGUGGAAUUUCCGGUGUAGCGGUAAAAUGCGCAGAUAUCGGAAGGAACACCAGUGGCGAAGGCGGCGCCCUGGGGUGGGCCUGACGCUAAGAGACGAAAGCUAGGGGAGCGAACAGG
RNAcentral lists this ribosomal RNA (405 nucleotides) under uncultured Anaerolineae bacterium. RNAcentral describes it as "bacterial SSU rRNA". It matches the Rfam family "Bacterial small subunit ribosomal RNA", at positions 355 to 776 of the family's 1533-position model. The record is from RNAcentral. Lineage: Bacteria; Bacillati; Chloroflexota; Anaerolineae.